UACGGGGGGGGCAAGCGUUGUUCGGAAUUACUGGGCGUAAAGGGCUCGUAGGUGGCCAACUCAGUCAGACGUGAAAUCCCUCGGCUUAACCGGGGAACUGCGUCUGAUACUGGAUGGCUUGAGUUUGGGAGAGGGAUGCGGAAUUCCAGGUGUAGCGGUGAAAUGCGUAGAUAUCUGGAGGAACACCGGUGGCGAAGGCGGCAUCCUGGACCAACACUGACACUGAGGAGCGAAAGCCAGGGGAGCAAACGGG
This 253-nucleotide ribosomal RNA is filed under the name uncultured bacterium. RNAcentral describes it as "partial 16S ribosomal RNA". It matches the Rfam family "Bacterial small subunit ribosomal RNA", at positions 524 to 776 of the family's 1533-position model. The record is from RNAcentral.